RNAcentral lists this ribosomal RNA (380 nucleotides) under Anilios unguirostris (claw-snouted blind snake). Its description in RNAcentral is "partial 12S ribosomal RNA". It matches the Rfam family "Bacterial small subunit ribosomal RNA", at positions 837 to 1380 of the family's 1533-position model. The record is from RNAcentral. Lineage: Eukaryota; Metazoa; Chordata; Lepidosauria; Squamata; Typhlopidae.
UUGGCAGAAACAAGGCUAAUGCCUACUUACUUAGCCCGCCAGAUAACUACGAGUAAAAACUUAAAAUUCAAAGGACUUGACGGUAUCCCACAUACAACCUAGAGGAGCCUGUCCUAUAAUCGAUAAUCCACGAUAGACCCUACCACUUUUUGCCAAACAACCUAUAUACCGCCGUCGAAAGUUUACCUUUUGAGAGAAAAGAAGUGAACAAAGAAGCCCCCCACUAGUAUGACAGGUCAAGGUGUAGUGAAUAAAGUGGCCAGAGAUGGGCUACACUUCCUUGAAAAGGAGAAACGAACAGCUUAAUGAAACCACGCUAAAAGGCGGAUUUAGUAGUAAACUGAGAUUAGAAAGCUCACUUGAACAUAUUGCCCUGGGAU